CCUUGACAUGCAGAGAACUUUCCUAGAGAUGGAUUGGUGCCUUCGGGAACUCUGACACAGGUGCUGCAUGGCUGUCGUCAGGCUCCGUGUCGUGAGAUCGUUGGGUUUAAGUCCCGUAACGAGCGCAACCCUUGUCCUUAGUUACCAGCACGUUAUGGUGGGCACUCUAAGGAGACUGCCGGUGACAAACCGGAGGAAGGUGGGGAUGACGUCAAGUCAUCAUGGCCCUUACGGCCUGGGCUACACACGUGCUACAAUGGUCGGUACAAAGGGUUGCCAAGCCGCGAGGUGGAGCUAAUCCCAUAAAACCGAUCGUAGUCCGGAUCGCAGUCUGCAACUCGACUGCGUGAAGUCGGAAUCGCUAGUAAUCGUGAAUCAGAAUGUCACGGUGAAUACGUUCCCGGGCCUU
This 409-nucleotide ribosomal RNA is filed under the name uncultured Pseudomonas sp. RNAcentral's name for it is "bacterial SSU rRNA". It matches the Rfam family "Bacterial small subunit ribosomal RNA", at positions 979 to 1382 of the family's 1533-position model. The record is from RNAcentral. Lineage: Bacteria; Pseudomonadati; Pseudomonadota; Gammaproteobacteria; Pseudomonadales; Pseudomonadaceae.